CCAAUAGCGUAUAUUAAAGUUGUUGCAGUUAAAAAGCUCGUAGUUGAAUUUCGGGAUCAGACUGUCGGUCGUGCCUCGGUACGCACUGGCAUUAUUGGUUUCUACCUUCUGAAGAACCGCGAUGUCAUUAAUUUGGUGUCUCGGGGAAUCAGGACUGUUACUUUGAAAAAAUUAGAGUGUUUAAAGCAGGCUUACGCUUGAAUACAUUAGCAUGGAAUAAUGAAAUAGGACGUUUGAUUCUAUUUUGUUGGUUUCUAGGAUCGACGUAAUGAUUAAUAGGGAUAGUUGGGGGCAUUAGUAUUCAAUUGUCAGAGGUGAAAUUCUUGGAUUUAUUGAAGACUAACUACUGCGAAAGCAUUUGCCAAGGAUGUUUUCAUUAAUCAAGAACGAAAGUUAGGGGAUCGAAGACGAUCAGAUACCGUCGUAGUCUUAACCAUAAACUAUGCCGACUAGGGAUCGGAUGAUGUUAAUUUUAUAAUGACUCAUUCGGCGCCUUACG
RNAcentral lists this ribosomal RNA (499 nucleotides) under uncultured Glomeromycotina. RNAcentral describes it as "partial small subunit ribosomal RNA". It matches the Rfam family "Eukaryotic small subunit ribosomal RNA", at positions 591 to 1092 of the family's 1831-position model. The record is from RNAcentral. Lineage: Eukaryota; Fungi; Glomeromycota.